UGAGACACGGACCAGACUCCUACGGGAGGCAGCAGUGAGGAAUAUUGGUCAAUGGGAGAGAUCCUGAACCAGCCAAGCCGCGUGAGGGAAGACGGCCCUAUGGGUUGUAAACCUCUUUUGUCGGAGAACAAAACCCGGGACGAGUCCCGGACUGCGUGUAUCCGAAGAAAAAGCAUCGGCUAACUCCGUGCCAGCAGCCGCGGUAAUACGGAGGGUGCGAGCGUUAUCCGGAUUUAUUGGGUUUAAAGGGUGCGUAGGCGGUCUGUUAAGUCAGCGGUAAAAUUGCGGGGCUCAACCCCGUCGAGCCGUUGAAACUGGCAGACUUGAGUUGGCGAGAAGUACGCGGAAUGCGCGGUGUAGCGGUGAAAUGCAUAGAUAUCGCGCAGAACUCCGAUUGCGAAGGCAGCGUACCGGCGCCAGACUGACGCUGAGGCACGAAAGCGUGG
Molecule: ribosomal RNA, 446 nt
Filed under: uncultured bacterium
Lineage: Bacteria
Description: bacterial SSU rRNA
Rfam family: Bacterial small subunit ribosomal RNA
Source: RNAcentral